RNAcentral lists this ribosomal RNA (700 nucleotides) under uncultured bacterium. RNAcentral's name for it is "bacterial SSU rRNA". It matches the Rfam family "Bacterial small subunit ribosomal RNA", at positions 94 to 786 of the family's 1533-position model. The record is from RNAcentral.
AGUGGCGAACGGGUGAGUAUAAUAUCGGAACUUGCCUUAUAGGAGGGGAUAACGCAUCGAAAGAUGUGCUAAUACCGUAUAAUCUCUGAGGAGGAAAGGUGGGGAUCUAGAGAUAGACCUGUCGCUAUAAGAGAGGCCGAUAUCCGAUUAGCUAGUUGGUGGGGUAAUAGCUUACCAAGGCGAUGAUCGGUAGCUGUUCUGAGAGGAAGAUCAGCCACACUGGGACUGAGACACGGCCCAGACUCCUACGGGAGGCAGCAGUGGGGGAUAUUGGACAAUGGGGGCAACCCUGAUCCAGCAACGCCGCGUGAAUGAAGAAGGCCUUAGGGUUGUAAAGUUCUUUUGUCUGGGGAGAGAUCGUGGUGGUGAAUAGCCAUUAUGUGAGACGGUACCAGAAGAAUAAGCACCGGCUAACUACGUGCCAGCAGCCGCGGUAAUACGUAGGGUGCGAGCGUUAAUCGGAAUUAUUGGGCGUAAAGGGUGAGUAGGCGGAUAUUUAAGUUAGAUGUGAAAGUCCUGAGCUUAACUUGGGGAUUGCAUUUAAUACUGGGUAUCUAGAGUUAAUUAGAGGGGGGUAGAAUUCCACGUGUAGCAGUGAAAUGCGUAGAGAUGUGGAGGAAUACCGAAGGCGAAGGCAGCCCCCUGGGAUAUAACUGACGCUGAGUCACGAAAGCGUGGGUAGCAAACAGGAUUAGAUACC